RNAcentral lists this ribosomal RNA (303 nucleotides) under uncultured bacterium. Its description in RNAcentral is "partial 16S ribosomal RNA". It matches the Rfam family "Bacterial small subunit ribosomal RNA", at positions 507 to 807 of the family's 1533-position model. The record is from RNAcentral.
AGCAGUAGCCGCGGGAAUACGGAGGGAGCUAGCGUUGUUCGGAAUUACUGGGCGUAAAGCGCGCGUAGGCGGUUACUCAAGUCAGAGGUGAAAGCCCGGGGCUCAACCCCGGAACUGCCUUUGAAACUAGGUGACUAGAAUCUUGGAGAGGUCAGUGGAAUUCCGAGUGUAGAGGUGAAAUUCGUAGAUAUUCGGAAGAACACCAGUGGCGAAGGCGACUGACUGGACAAGUAUUGACGCUGAGGUGCGAAAGCGUGGGGAGCAAACAGGAUUAGAUACCCCAGUAGUCCCUGUCUCUUAUAC